GGCAGAUAUAUAUUGACUUGAUUAACAAUUUAUCUCCUUGUCAGAUUUCCUCUAAAUGAUUUGGGUUUCAGAGUUAUAAGCAAAAAACUACAUUUUACCCCUGUUCUAUUUUUAGCCGUGGCGGCCAUCUUGGUUGGAUGGCCAGGUCAUCGGACACAUUUUUCAAACAAGGUACCUUAAAGAUGAUUGUGGCCAAGUUUGAAUUAAUUUGGCCCAGUAGUUUCAGAGGAGAAGAUUUUUGUAAAAGAUAACUAAGAUUUACGAAAAAUGGUUAAAAAUUGACUAUAAAGGGCAAUAACUCCUAAAGGGGUCAACUGACCAUUUCGGUCAUGUUGACUUAUUUGUAAAUCUUACUUUGAUGAACAUUAUUGCUGUUAACAGUUUAUCUCUAUCUAUAAUAAUAUUCAAGAUAAUAACCAAAAACAGCAAAAUUUCCUCAAAAUUACCAAUUCAGGGGCAGCAACCCAACAACAGGUUGACUGAUUCAUCUGAAAAUUUCAGGGCAGAUAGAUCUUGACCUGAUAAACAUUUUUACUCCAUGUCAGAUUUGCUCUAAAUGCUUUGGUUUUUGAGUUAUAAGCCAAAAACUGCAUUUUACCCCUAUGUUCUAUUUUUAGCCGUGGCGGCCAUCUUGGUUG
Molecule: long non-coding RNA, 638 nt
Filed under: Mytilus galloprovincialis (Mediterranean mussel)
Lineage: Eukaryota; Metazoa; Mollusca; Bivalvia; Mytilida; Mytilidae
Source: RNAcentral